GUCGUGAGAUGUUGGGUUAAGUCCCGCAACGAGCGCAACCCUCGUCCUCUGUUGCCAGCAGGUCAAGCUGGGCACUCUGGGGAGACUGCCGGUGAUAAACCGGAGGAAGGUGGGGAUGACGUCAAGUCAGCAUGGCCUUUAUGUCCAGGGCUACACACGUGCUACAAUGGGCGAGACAAAGCGCUGCAAACUCGCGAGAGUGAGCCAAUCGCACAAACUCCGUCUCAGCUCGGAUUGCAGGCUGCAACUCGCCUGCAUGAAGUUGGAAUCGCUAGUAAUCGCGGAUCAGCAUGCCGCGGUGAAUACAUUCCCGGGCCUUGUA
This 322-nucleotide ribosomal RNA is filed under the name unidentified proteobacterium. RNAcentral's name for it is "bacterial SSU rRNA". It matches the Rfam family "Bacterial small subunit ribosomal RNA", at positions 1064 to 1385 of the family's 1533-position model. The record is from RNAcentral. Lineage: Bacteria; Pseudomonadati; Pseudomonadota.